RNAcentral lists this ribosomal RNA (266 nucleotides) under uncultured bacterium. Its description in RNAcentral is "partial 16S ribosomal RNA". It matches the Rfam family "Bacterial small subunit ribosomal RNA", at positions 793 to 1055 of the family's 1533-position model. The record is from RNAcentral.
GUCCACGCUGUAAACGAUGAGCACUAGGUGUAGCGGGUACUCAUUCCUGCUGUGCCGCAGCUAACGCGUUAAGUGCUCCGCCUGGGGAUUACGGUCGCAAGACUAAAACUCAAAGGAAUUGACGGGGGCCCGCACAAGCGGUGGAGUAUGUGGUUUAAUUCGACGCAACGCGAAGAACCUUACCUGGGCUUGACAUCCCCGGACAGCCAUAGAAAUAUGGUCUUCUCCUUCGGGAGACCGGGAGACAGGUGCUGCAUGGCUGUCGU